CUACAGUGAAUUCUGCUGUUUGCAACUUAUAACCCUGAUUAACACAGACAGAGGAAAGACAAAUAGAGGGCUUCCACAUACUUCUCCUGCAUUUGCAGCUGUUUCUCUGGGCGUGAGAGCCAGAACAGAGGAGGUGAAGUGCAUGGUGACCUUGACCAACCUCUAGCAGAAAGCAGAGUCCAACCACAGCAGAUGCAAAGCGGUACAGG
Non-coding RNA from Vicugna pacos (alpaca), 209 nucleotides. Lineage: Eukaryota; Metazoa; Chordata; Mammalia; Artiodactyla; Camelidae. The record is from RefSeq and is a predicted model, not a curated record.